UGGGGAAUAUUGCACAAUGGGGGAAACCCUGAUGCAGCGACGCCGCGUGAACGAAGAAGGUAUUCGUAUCGUAAAGUUCUGUCCUAUGGGAAGAUAAUGACAGUACCAUAGAAGAAAGCUCCGGCUAAAUACGUGCCAGCAGCCGCGGUAAUACGUAUGGAGCGAGCGUUGUCCGGAAUUAUUGGGCGUAAAGGGUACGCAGGCGGUUUAAUAAGUCGAAUGUUAAAGAUCGGGGCUCAACCCCGCAAAGCAUUGGAAACUGAUAAACUUGAGUAGUGGAGAGGAAAGUGGAAUUCCUAGUGUAGUGGUGAAAUACGUAGAUAUUAGGAGGAAUAUCAGUAGCGAAGGCGACUUUCUGGACACAAACUGACGCUGAGGUACGAAAGCGUGGGGAGCAAACAGG
Molecule: ribosomal RNA, 403 nt
Filed under: bacterium
Lineage: Bacteria
Description: partial 16S ribosomal RNA
Rfam family: Bacterial small subunit ribosomal RNA
Source: RNAcentral